UGGGGAAUAUUGGACAAUGGGCGCAAGCCUGAUCCAGCAAUGCCGCGUGUGUGAAGAAGGCCUUCGGGUUGUAAAGCACUUUUAUCAGGAACGAAAAGCGUGGGGUUAAUACCUUUACGUGCUGACGGUACCUGAGGAAUAAGCACCGGCUAACUACGUGCCAGCAGCCGCGGUAAUACGUAGGGUGCAAGCGUUAAUCGGAAUUACUGGGCGUAAAGCGUGCGCAGGCGGUUGCGUAAGUCAGAUGUGAAAUCCCCGGGCUCAACCUGGGAAUUGCAUUUGAGACUGCACGGCUAGAGUGUGUCAGAGGGGGGUAGAAUUCCACGUGUAGCAGUGAAAUGCGUAGAUAUGUGGAGGAAUACCGAUGGCGAAGGCAGCCCCCUGGGAUAACACUGACGCUCAUGCACGAAAGCGUGGGGAGCAAACAGGAUUAGAUACCCCCGUAGUCCCUGAGCGGGCUGGCAAGGCGCAU
This 472-nucleotide ribosomal RNA is filed under the name uncultured bacterium. RNAcentral describes it as "bacterial SSU rRNA". It matches the Rfam family "Bacterial small subunit ribosomal RNA", at positions 355 to 825 of the family's 1533-position model. The record is from RNAcentral.